Molecule: non-coding RNA, 389 nt
Organism: Osmia lignaria (orchard mason bee)
Lineage: Eukaryota; Metazoa; Arthropoda; Insecta; Hymenoptera; Megachilidae
Source: RefSeq, a predicted model, not a curated record
UUUUCGUUCAUUUUACUGAUAGAUAAGCGUGUAUUUUUGUAGCUUCUUAUAAUUUUGUAAACAUACCUCAGCGGAUAUUUUAAGAACAUUCAGUACCUGGUGCAUCCAUGGGACAAACCGUGAUCGCGAUAUUGCUUGAUAGCACCCUGGCGAAUGAUAACCGUACGAUAACAUUAAUGGUCGGUAAUCUUAUCGUGGAAGAUUUUUACAUGGAAAUUAUGGCAAAGAAAAGAUGUCGGAGGCAAAGUAACGAUCAAUUUUUAUCGCUUCUGAACAAUGGAGCGAAACGAAAAUUACAGUUCAGAAUUUGCCUGGAGAAACAUUAAGUUUUACAGUUAAACCACGCACGUGUCCUCGAAAGUAGCAAUAAAGUGAUACUUGUAUUCGUG